UAGAUACCCUAUUAUUAAAAGUGUAAAAAUAUAAAUAAUUGAGUAGUAAUUGUUGUGUUCAUGAAACUCAAAGAAUUUGGCGGUGUUUUAGUCUAAUCAGAGGAAUUUGUCCCAUUAUCGAUGAUUCACGUUAAACCUUACUUAAUUUUGUAAAUCAGUUUGUAUAUCGCCGUCAUCAGAUUAUCUUAGAAAAGGUAGAAAUUUUCAGGAUUUUGAAUAAAAAUUUAUGUCAGGUCAAGGUGCAGUUUAUAAUUAAGAGGAGAUGAAUUACAAUAAAAUGAUUUAAAAUGGAAAUUGAAUUGAAAAUUGGGAUUUGAUUGAAGGUGGAUUUGAAAGUAAAUAUUUAUAUUUUAGAAUAUUGAUUUUAGCUCUAAAAUAUGUACACAUCGCCCGUCGCUCUU
RNAcentral lists this ribosomal RNA (401 nucleotides) under Pachyrhamma edwardsii. RNAcentral describes it as "partial 12S ribosomal RNA". The record is from RNAcentral. Lineage: Eukaryota; Metazoa; Arthropoda; Insecta; Orthoptera; Rhaphidophoridae.